UGGUCUUGACAUCCCGGAGAUCUUCUGGAAACAGGAGAGUGCUUUCAUUAGAGAGAAUCCGGUGACAGGUGCUGCAUGGCUGUCGUCAGCUCGUGUCGUGAGAUGUUGGGUUAAGUCCCGCAACGAGCGCAACCCUCGCCAUUAGUUGCCAUCAUUUAGUUCGGGCACUCUAAUGGGACUGCCGGUGUCAAACCGGAGGAAGGUGGGGAUGACGUCAAGUCCUCAUGGCCUUUAUGACCAGGGCUACACACGUACUACAAUGGCCGAAACAAAGGGCAGCCACAGAGCGAUCUGGAGCGAAUCCCGUAAAUUCGGUCUCAGUCCGGAUUGGAGUCUGCAACUCGACUCCAUGAAGUUGGAAUCGCUAGUAAUCGUGGAUCAGCAUGCCACGGUGAAUACGUUCCCGGGCCU
RNAcentral lists this ribosomal RNA (411 nucleotides) under uncultured bacterium. RNAcentral's name for it is "bacterial SSU rRNA". It matches the Rfam family "Bacterial small subunit ribosomal RNA", at positions 976 to 1381 of the family's 1533-position model. The record is from RNAcentral.